GCUAUUGGAAGUUUGAUCCUGGCUCAGGACGAACGCUGGCGGCGUGCUUAACACAUGCAAGUCGAGCGGAAAGGCCCCUUCGGGGGUACUCGAGCGGCGAACGGGUGAGUAACACGUGAGCAACCUGCCCCAGACUCUGGGAUAACCCCGGGAAACCGGGGCUAAUACCGGAUACUCCGACCGGAUCGCAUGGUCAGGUCGGGAAAGCUCCGACGGUCUGGGAUGGGCCCGCGGCCUAUCAGCUUGUUGGCGGGGUAGCGGCCCACCAAGGCGACGACGGGUAGCUGGUCUGAGAGGACGGCCAGCCACACUGGGACUGAGACACGGCCCAGACUCCUACGGGAGGCAGCAGUGGGGAAUCUUGCGCAAUGGGCGAAAGCCUGACGCAGCGACGCCGCAUGGGGGAUGAAGGCCCUCGGGUUGUAAACCUCUUUUUGGAGGGACGAAGCGAAAGUGACGGUACCUGCAGAAGAAGCUCCGGCUAACUACGUGCCAGCAGCCGCGGUAAGACGUAGGGAGCGAGCGUUGUCCGGAUUCAUUGGGCGUAAAGCGCGCGUAGGCGGCCUCGCAAGUCGGUUGUGAAAUCCCGGCGGCUCAACCCCGGGACUGCGUCCGAUACUGCGGGGCUGGAGGUAGGUAGGGGAGAUCGGAAUUCCUGGUGUAGCGGUGAAAUGCGCAGAUAUCAGGAGGAACACCGGUGGCGAAGGCGGAUCUCUGGGCCUUACCUGACGCUGAGGCGCGAAAGCUAGGGGAGCGAACAGGAUUAGAUACCCUGGUAGUCCUAGCCGUAAACGUUGGGUGCUAGGUGUGGGCGGAUAUCGACCCCGUCCGUGCCGAAGCUAACGCAUUAAGCACCCCGCCUGGGGAGUACGGCCGCAAGGCUAAAACUCCAAGGAAUUGACGGGGGGCCCGCACAAGCGGCGGAACAUGGGGGCUUAAUUCGAUGCACCCCGAAAAACCUUACCUGGGCCUUGACUUGCCGGGGUAAAGCCCGGUGAAAACCCGGGCCUCUUCCGGAGCCUCGCACAGGGGGGGGCAUGGGCUGUCCUCCACCUCCUGGCCCGGAAAGGGUUUGCCCUUAAAGGGGGCCCAACCAAGGCGCACCCCUUGGUCCCCUAAUUUUCCACCCGGGGUGGAAACCCGGGAAACCCUUAGGGAAGACCUGCCCGGGUGCCCAAACCCCGGAAAAAAAAAGGGGGGGAGAGAAGGGGGCCAAGCCCCCAAUC
RNAcentral lists this ribosomal RNA (1226 nucleotides) under uncultured bacterium. RNAcentral describes it as "bacterial SSU rRNA". It matches the Rfam family "Bacterial small subunit ribosomal RNA", at positions 1 to 1197 of the family's 1533-position model. The record is from RNAcentral.